Molecule: long non-coding RNA, 887 nt
Filed under: Homo sapiens (human)
Lineage: Eukaryota; Metazoa; Chordata; Mammalia; Primates; Hominidae
Description: long intergenic non-protein coding RNA 1681
Source: RNAcentral
GAGCUCCCUGAUGGGAGUAUUCAUGGUUAGAGUCUCAGUCUCUAUUACGGGCCCUAGUACACUUCAGGAACUCAAAAGCUUUGCUGAUAUAAUGCAAGGUGAUAAAAAAGUAGAAAGACUUGGGAUAAUCUUGAUUUCUGAAGGCAUCAAACGGGAAUUAGAGAAAGCAGCAGGAAAAACGAAGGCCUUUUUAAGUUCCAUGAGAACUACGGUUUGCAAGACUGGUCAAAACAGUACAAUGCAAGCGGCAAGAAUCAGGAAGUGCACAGAAACAAGAAGCUCGGUGCACACUGGGAUCAGGCAAGCAUCUGGGAGAAGACUGUAGCAAGACUGGAUCCUGAGCACUGGACUGGGACCAGUUUUCCUAUUCUGCAGGAACAAAGCCAGUUCCCAGAGAUAAAGAGAUGAAUACAUGUACCCUGUGAACAUUGCUCUUCUGAGAAGGAGAAAGGAAGAGACAGGGCUAAGCAUCUCCAAUUCUUCUCAAGAGCACCAAUCAACUGAGUUACUACUUCCUGCCCUCUCUACCGCCACCCUUCCAGGAGUGAGCCAAAAGAUGGAGAGAGGCCACAAGUGUUGCAUUAAUGCAUACCCUUUACGUAAGAGGAAACACCAGGAGCAGGAAAUAUGCAUUUCCCCCAAAUGGGGGAAUUCUCACGGGAUGAGAUAUGGGUCACAGAUAAAUAUAUAUUGCGUCAAAUGGAACCUCUUCAAAUGAACCAUCCUUGAUUUAGCUGACUUUGGUGGAAGUAGCAAAAAGGUUCAGAGCCAAGUUAAGAUAUACAAAUGAAUAUUUCCUUGUUUAUAAAAUAAAUUUAUCAUUAUUUUACUCACAUUCAGUUGGCCCACCAAACUAAUAAAAGACAAAAAUGAAUAAUAUCUGAGAU